RNAcentral lists this ribosomal RNA (250 nucleotides) under uncultured bacterium. RNAcentral's name for it is "partial 16S ribosomal RNA". It matches the Rfam family "Bacterial small subunit ribosomal RNA", at positions 524 to 773 of the family's 1533-position model. The record is from RNAcentral.
UACAGAGGUCCCAAGCGUUGUUCGGAUUUAUUGGGCGUAAAGGGUGCGUAGGCGGCGGAGUAAGUUGGGUGUGAAAUCCCGGGGCUCAACCUCGGAAUUGCAUUCAAUACUGCUUCGCUCGAGUACUGGAGAGGAGGCUGGAAUUUACGGUGUAGCAGUGAAAUGCGUAGAUAUCGUAAGGAAGGCCGGUGGCGAAAGCGAGCCUCUGGACAGUUACUGACGCUGAUGCACGAAGGCCAGGGGAGCAAAC